UCCCUCCCAACCCAAUCCCGCUUCCAAUUUCAACUCCCCCCAAAAAUUUCUUCACUAGUAUUCCUCUAUACCAUUUUCUUCUCUAGAUUAAUCCUAAAUUGAUUUCCUCUCCAACCUUCAUCUCUCAACUGAAUCUUCACUUCCAUAGCAACAACGAUAACAAUCUCCUCUGUUCUUUGUUAAUCCACUCACUCUCUUCACACACCUCUUCUAUAUUCUUCAUCUCAAAACCCUAGCUCCAGAUCCACAACAACAAAGUAAGUAUGUCGCAAACUCUGACCCAAACAACCGCCCCAAACCCGACCUGUUACCUUCCGGUUCAGAUUCAACCGGUUCAGCUGCAACACCUCCAUCCUUAUGGGCCAAACCCUAGGUCGAACCAGAAACUUCUUGUUCACUUUACACUGUACAACUCAUUUUUUCCGAUGAGAUUAUUCAGCAGAGGCUCUUCCACUGCCACCGCCGUAGCCUUUGGUCCGGCGAGACCUAUCCUUCUUGUGAACUGUGACGAGCAAGGAAAGCUCCAGAUGGAUCAGAAGUGGUUUCUGUUCUUUGACUCAUAAAACAAUGGUAGGUGGUUCUCGAUCUCAAGUCAACAAGUCGCCUAAGACUCGUUUUGCUUCUACAUCCUCUCGUAACUUUCACAAAACAUCUGUCAAAGAAGGAAGAAACUAUGCCUGGCAACAUUGGGUGAAUGGGGUAGAAACAGAAGAAACUGAAAAUGGUAAUAAUGAGGUAUCUCGUCCCUAAUGAGGCUAAUGAUCAGCCGAAGGAACUACUAUACUAGAAACAAGCUUCAAAAAGGCUAUUGCAGAAUCGGAAUACGGGUACUGAUGCUUGUCCUCUUGUAACUAGGCCUGGGCAUAUUCGGUUUGAAUCUCUUCAUGUAGGUAUAUAGGGGUGCUAAACGGGUCGUGUUCGCGGGUUCAAUCCGACCCGAACCCGAAAAUUUUAGACCGACGCGAACCCGAAAAUUGUGCCGUACAUAUGAACCCGAACCCGGCUUGAAUAUUCGCAUACUGACCGAACCCGACCCAUUCAACCCGAUUUUUUUUUUUAAUUUUUUCAGCAAAUUAAUAUAUUAAAAUUAACACUACAACAAAAAGAAAAUGCAAAUUUAUAUAAUAAAAUUACAUUAAAAUCGUAAAAAUUUAUGUCAACUUCCAUUUUUAAGUUAUAUUUAUAGCAUAAAAUACACACCCAAUUUAAUUUAUGACAUAAAACAUAUUUUUAAAAAUAUAAUAAUAUAAUAGAAAUGGGUUAAACGGGUCAACUUGCCACCCCGACUGGGUUGACCUGAACCUGACGCGUUUAGCUAAACGGGUUCGUGGGUUCAACCUGAAACUUGCCCGAACCCAUAUAUACUAAACCCAAACCCAUGAAUUUCGUGUUAGGUUUGUAUCAUGUUUUCGGAUCGUGUCAGAAAUUCACACCCAUAAAGAUAUAUGCUAAAUAUUUUACAUCUCUUGAUGUGGGUCAUGUUCUUCUCAUUGUGGCUUCCUUCGUAUUGCUCCCUUUUCACCCGUACUCGCUAGUGGUGGGGAUGCUUGUGGUGCUAAUGUUCAUCCCAAUUUAUGAGCACAUUAUAUGGGGCCUUGCUAUAGCUAGGUUGAUUUUCUGACUUAAUAAAGUGAUAUUUCAAAUUUAAAGUGGAACUUUUUGAAUCAAAACUUUAGUUAAAAGUGGUUUAGAUGUAAAAAAGUUGAUGCAUGUGAUUUAACUUGUUGUAUAAAGUAGGUACACUAUUAGGUGGUAUACUUUACAUACAUAAUAAAGAUGGUUUUGAGUAGAGGUUUAGUGGUUUGAAUUGAUGAACCCAACACGACUAGUAAGCUGACACGUUGUAAACAGACCGUAAACAGAUUGAACAUAUACAAUAUUCUUUUAUUUUAUGAGUUUAUUUUUAAUGGGUUGACGUGUCAACUUGUUUGAUUAAAUAGGUUAUAUAACUCAGCUUGUUUCAUUUCACAGUUUAAAUGGGUCAGCCUAUUUCAUUCUGCAGUUUAAAUGGGCCAUCCUGUUUCAUUUUACAGUUUACACGGGUCUUUUCGAACUAUUAACGAACCGAUCUCGAUUAGCUCUUGAGCGGCCUGACUCUUGUUUACACCCCUAGUAUGGAAGGAUGAAACUGAUUAAUAUUUGCAUUGUUUUGUUCAACCUGCAGGACCUGUUAGUGGCAGUUCUAUAAAUGGAGCUAUUUGAAGCCAAAAUCGGGAAGCUUGUUGAACUCGGGUUCAGUAGAGAUGCAGUUAUACAAGCUUUGAAGCUUUUUGAUGGUAAUGAAGAACAAGCAGCUGGAUAUCUUCUACCUCUGGAAAAGCGUGUGAAUCUGCUGUUUUUGUUUUGGAUCCUUGCCACCAUUGGCCCAACUUUUGAUUCUGUGCCUGAAUUGACAAACAUUUGUUUAUCCUACAAGUUGUUCCAAAAUUUGAUUUGGAUAUUAACUAAGGUGAUGUGGAAGGCGGGUGUUCCAGCUAUGGACAGAUCAAGCAUAUAUAUGUUGAUAAGUAUGUGUGUAAGUUCUUUAUCUCAGUCUACUAGGAUGAACAUGUGUUAGAUGUGCAAAUUACCAUAACAUGGGGUUUACAAGUAACAUGAAUAAAACAAUUGGAGGAUCAUACAACAUCAGAACUGGCCACAAGUUACAAGUUUGCUCCCCACCACAACAGCAGUAAUGUGGCCACGAACCCAUGGAUGCAAAUUUACAGCACUUUUAGGUCUAAAACAAUGAGUAUGCGGACUUGAAGAAAACAGUCUGGAAGUAGUUCUUAGUUUAUGUGUAAAGUGAUUUUCCUUUGCAAGUUUUGUAGAUAGGUUAGUGUUGGUAUUUAAAUUGAAUACUUAUGUAUGGAUUUUGGGAUAUUAUUAUUAAUAGCAUUUGGUUUUUAGUUUUCUCA
This is an RNA transcript of Helianthus annuus (common sunflower), 2897 nucleotides long. RefSeq lists it as uncharacterized. The transcript is spliced from 6 exons. The record is from RefSeq and is a predicted model, not a curated record. Lineage: Eukaryota; Viridiplantae; Streptophyta; Magnoliopsida; Asterales; Asteraceae.